RNAcentral lists this ribosomal RNA (253 nucleotides) under uncultured bacterium. Its description in RNAcentral is "partial 16S ribosomal RNA". It matches the Rfam family "Bacterial small subunit ribosomal RNA", at positions 524 to 776 of the family's 1533-position model. The record is from RNAcentral.
UACGAAGGGGGCUAGCGUUGUUCGGAAUCACUGGGCGUAAAGGGCGCGUAGGCGGCUUUGUAAGUCGGGGGUGAAAGCCUGUGGCUCAACCACAGAAUUGCCUUCGAUACUGUAGAGCUUGAGACCGGAAGAGGUAAGUGGAACUGCGAGUGUAGAGGUGAAAUUCGUAGAUAUUCGCAAGAACACCAGUGGCGAAGGCGGCUUACUGGUCCGGUUCUGACGCUGAGGCGCGAAAGCGUGGGGAGCAAACAGG